RNAcentral lists this unclassified non-coding RNA (348 nucleotides) under soil metagenome. RNAcentral's name for it is "partial contains 5.8S ribosomal RNA, internal transcribed spacer 2, and large subunit ribosomal RNA". The stretch from base 1 to 120 matches the Rfam family "5.8S ribosomal RNA", at positions 35 to 154 of the family's 154-position model. The record is from RNAcentral.
GAUGAAGAACGCAGCGAAAUGCGAUAAGUAAUGUGAAUUGCAGAAUUCAGUGAAUCAUCGAAUCUUUGAACGCACAUUGCGCCCGCCAGUAUUCUGGCGGGCAUGCCUGUCUGAGCGUCAUUUCAACCCUCAUGCCCCUAGGGCGUGGUGUUGGGGAUCGGCCAAAGCCCGCGAGGGACGGCCGGCCCCUAAAUCUAGUGGCGGACCCGUCGUGGCCUCCUCUGCGAAGUAGUGAUAUUCCGCANCGNNNNNCGACGAGCCCCUGCCGUUAAACCCCCAACUUUCCAAGGUUGACCUCAGAUCAGGUAGGAAUACCCGCUGAACUUAAGCAUAUCAAUAAGCGGAGGA